Trypanosoma vivax Y486 is the source of this 637-nucleotide ribosomal RNA. It matches the Rfam family "Eukaryotic large subunit ribosomal RNA", at positions 1 to 884 of the family's 3401-position model. NCBI's taxonomy places the organism in Eukaryota, Euglenozoa, Kinetoplastea, Trypanosomatida, Trypanosomatidae. The record is from Rfam.
UGGCCGUACACGCAAUUCAAAAACGAAAGGGAAAGUGUUGACAGCAAUGCUGCGAGCGGUAAAGAGGGAUUGUUGAAUGAAGAAGGGAGCAAUGCCGUGUACAUUCGCCGCGAGGUUGUGCGCGUGUGGUACAUUGUGGAAGAGAAAAUGUGUGCGUGGUAUAUCGAGAGGAAGCUUGUGGAACCCAGGACGUGCAUUGUGAUUGGCACGCCUGGCAUUGGCAAGUCAUUCGCGUGCGGCUCUUUCCUGCUCUAUCAACUGCUUCACUACGAGGGUGGGCUGCUUGACGUUGUGGCGUACUUUGUUCGUGACAGCGCUUACGUGAUACACAACGCGAGGCCCGGCGUGCCCGCUCCGCGCCCUCUCGGCGCUGGCGACGGCGACGGGGCGCCCCCACCCGUCUUGAAACACGGACCAAGGAGUCAAACAGACGCGCAAGGGCAGAGGCACGCCUCAGGCCUCUCCGCCCGCACUGAAAGGGAGACGCGCUCCGCGUCCGUGGCGCGCGCACGCGUGCUCAGCGCCGGCCGGCCCCCCGCGGGCUGCGCUCGAGUGUGCCUGUUUGGACCCGAAAGGUGGUGAACUAUGCCUGAACAAGGCGAAGCCCGGGGAAACCCGGGUGGAGGCCUGUAGCGAU